AGUUGUAUGGUCUAAUGGUUAUGAUAUCUCGCUCACAAUCAUAUUGUUGUUCGUCAAGUUCAUGUGACUUGAACCGAGAUGGUUCUGGGUUCGAUCCCCAGUACAACUA
This 109-nucleotide transfer RNA is filed under the name Sclerotinia borealis F-4128. It matches the Rfam family "tRNA". Rfam says of the family: Transfer RNA (tRNA) molecules are approximately 80 nucleotides in length. Lineage: Eukaryota; Fungi; Ascomycota; Leotiomycetes; Helotiales; Sclerotiniaceae. The record is from Rfam by way of RNAcentral.